RNAcentral lists this ribosomal RNA (439 nucleotides) under uncultured bacterium. RNAcentral describes it as "partial 16S ribosomal RNA". It matches the Rfam family "Bacterial small subunit ribosomal RNA", at positions 338 to 795 of the family's 1533-position model. The record is from RNAcentral.
CCUACGGGUGGCAGCAGUGGGGGAUAUUGCACAAUGGGGGAAACCCUGAUGCAGCGACGCCGCGUGAGUGAAGAAGGAUUUCGGUAGGUAAAGCUCUAUCAGCAGGGAAGAAAAUGACGGUACCUGAUUAAGAAGCCCCGGCUAACUACGUGCCAGCAGCCGCGGUAAUACGUAGGGGGCAAGCGUUAUCCGGAUUUAUUGGGUUAAAAGGGGGCGGAGGCGGAAGGUUAAGUCAGCGGUAAAAUGUCGGUGCUCAACACCGGACUGCCGUUGAAACUGGUCUUCUUGAGUGAGCGAGAGGCAUGCGGAAUGCGUGGUGUAGCGGUGAAAUGCAUAGAUAUCACGCAGAACUCCGAUUGCGAAGGCAGCAUACCGGCGCUCAACUGACGCUGAGGCACGAAAGCGUGGGGAUCGAACAGGAUUAGAUACCCGUGUAGUC